AGCAGCCGCGGUAAUUCCAGCUCCAAUAGCGUAUAUUAAAGUUGUUGCAGUUAAAAAGCUCGUAGUUGAAUUUCGGGGUCAGUAGAUUGGUCGUGCCACUGGUAUGCACUGGUCUUACUGACUCCUCCUUCCUGAUGAACCGUAAUGCCAUUAAUUUGGUGUUGCGGGGAAUUUGGACUGUUACUUUGAAAAAAUUAGAGUGUUUAAAGCAAGCUAACGCUUGAAUACAUUAGCAUGGAAUAAUGAAAUAGGACGUUCGAUCCUAUUUUGUGGUUUCUAGGAUUGACGUAAUGAUUAAUAGGGAUAGUUGGGGCAUUAGUAUUCAAUUGUCAGAGGUGAAA
RNAcentral lists this ribosomal RNA (341 nucleotides) under uncultured Glomus. Its description in RNAcentral is "SSU rRNA". It matches the Rfam family "Eukaryotic small subunit ribosomal RNA", at positions 569 to 916 of the family's 1831-position model. Lineage: Eukaryota; Fungi; Glomeromycota; Glomeromycetes; Glomerales; Glomeraceae. The record is from RNAcentral.